GAUGAACGCUGGCGGCGUGCUUAACACAUGCAAGUCGAACGGAAAGGCUCCUGCUUGCAGGGGUACUCGAGUGGCGAACGGGUGAGUAACACGUGGGUGAUCUGCCCUGCACUUCGGGAUAAGCCUGGGAAACUGGGUCUAAUACCGGAUAGGACGAUGGUUUGGAUGCCAUUGUGGAAAGUUUUUUCGGUGUGGGAUGAGCUCGCGGCCUAUCAGCUUGUUGGUGGGGUAAUGGCCUACCAAGGCGUCGACGGGUAGCCGGCCUGAGAGGGUGUACGGCCACAUUGGGACUGAGAUACGGCACAGACUCCUACGGGAGGCAGCAGUGGGGAAUAUUGCACAAUGGGCGCAAGCCUGAUGCAGCGACGCCGCGUGGGGGAUGACGGCCUUCGGGUUGUAAACUCCUUUCGCUAGGGACGAAGCGAAAGUGACGGUACCUGGAGAAGAAGCACCGGCUAACUACGUG
RNAcentral lists this ribosomal RNA (466 nucleotides) under uncultured bacterium. Its description in RNAcentral is "partial 16S ribosomal RNA". It matches the Rfam family "Bacterial small subunit ribosomal RNA", at positions 28 to 507 of the family's 1533-position model. The record is from RNAcentral.